Molecule: ribosomal RNA, 617 nt
Filed under: uncultured Bacteroidales bacterium
Lineage: Bacteria; Pseudomonadati; Bacteroidota; Bacteroidia; Bacteroidales
Description: bacterial SSU rRNA
Rfam family: Bacterial small subunit ribosomal RNA
Source: RNAcentral
CGCACGGGUGCGUAACGCGUAUGUAACCUACCUAUAACAGGGGCAUAACACUGAGAAAUUGGUACUAAUUCCCCAUAAUAUUCGGAGAGGCAUCUCUCCGGGUUGAAAACUCCGGUGGUUAUAGAUGGACAUGCGUUGUAUUAGCUAGUUGGUGAGGUAACGGCUCACCAAGGCAACGAUACAUAGGGGGACUGAGAGGUUAAACCCCCCCAACACUGGUACUGAGACACGGACCAGACUCCUACGGGAGCCACCAUUGAGGAAUAUUGGUCAAUGGAACGCAAGUCCUGAACCAGCCAUGCCGCGUGCAAGGAAGACGGUUCUAUGAGUUGUAAACUGCUUUUGUACGAGGGUAAACUCACCUACGUGUAGGUGACUGAAAGUAUCGUACGAAUAAGGAUCGGCUAACUCCGUGCCAGCAGCCGCGGUAAUACGGAGGAUUCAAGCGUUAUCCGGAUUUAUUGGGUUUAAAGGGUGCGUAGGCGGUUUGAUAAGUUAGAGGUGAAUCCCGGGGCUUAACUCCGGAACUGCCUCUAAUACUGUUAGACUAGAGAGUAGUUGCGGUAGGCGGAAUGUAUGGUGUAGCGGUGAAAUGCUUAGAGAUCAUACAGAACACC